CUCGCACCGCGACCCCAGGUCAGGCGGGACCACCCGCCGAGUUUAAGCAUAUAAAUAAGCGGAGGAGAAGAAACUUACGAGGAUUC
This 86-nucleotide ribosomal RNA is filed under the name Lemna tenera. RNAcentral's name for it is "partial 26S ribosomal RNA". The stretch from base 10 to 86 matches the Rfam family "Eukaryotic large subunit ribosomal RNA", at positions 1 to 77 of the family's 3401-position model. Lineage: Eukaryota; Viridiplantae; Streptophyta; Magnoliopsida; Alismatales; Araceae. The record is from RNAcentral.